GUGUUCACAGCCUGGCUGGACCCUUAAAAAGUAAUGAAUCUGAAACAUUUAGUACUACUUCUGUUAGACUCGUGAACAGUUAUUCAGCCUGCCAUGGUCACUCAAUAUAUGCAGCUGGAAAGCAUUAGAAAUGCAACUUGGGUUAAAAAUAAAGUCUCCAGGGCAUGGCUCCUCCUCCAUAGGAAAUCUGAGAACUUUGGCAGCUUUAGACUCCACAAUGUAAUAUCUGAUUUCUUCAGUAAAGGACAACAAUCUGACCAUGUAGUCUCAUAUUCUGAACAGAGGAACACAAUUCUGUCUACUGAGGUCAUAGUUUAUUCUUGUUGGAACAGACAUCAAGAGGAACAGAUCACUCCCUGGCACACUCCAGACUGUUUCAGCCUGUGCAAUUAAGGAAUUCUUUAACCAUGGAUAUCAUCAAGGAGCCUCUGCAGCUAUACACAGGACAAUAUCAUCUGCAAACAAAAGCUUCUAGAGAAUCUCACAGUCUCUAGAAAUCCAUCUGAGCAUACCUACCUGCUUUAUGCCUCUCCUUAUGCUGAUAACCAGAUCUUGGACUAAGGAUCAGGAUGCUUUCAACAAUCGCAUAUUCAAUCGAGUUGAAAUGUAUGGAAAUGGAAAAACAAAUUAGAAUACAAAAUAAAUUCUUUAUCUAUUACA
Molecule: long non-coding RNA, 660 nt
Organism: Monodelphis domestica (gray short-tailed opossum)
Lineage: Eukaryota; Metazoa; Chordata; Mammalia; Didelphimorphia; Didelphidae
Source: RefSeq, a predicted model, not a curated record